Non-coding RNA from Peromyscus maniculatus bairdii (prairie deer mouse), 3133 nucleotides. Lineage: Eukaryota; Metazoa; Chordata; Mammalia; Rodentia; Cricetidae. The record is from RefSeq and is a predicted model, not a curated record.
GCAUUAGAGGGGUGAACCAAAACAAGAUGGUGGCUUUCCCACAGUUCAAAGGAGGCUCUGCCAGCCAAUGAAGACUGACAAUCUUUUUGUCCCCCAUAUGUGUGCAAAUCAUCCUGCUGACAAUAUGAGGGAUGCUGGGGCUGAGAGACCAGAGAAAAUGAAUGCACAUGCUUCUGAUGCUGGUCCUCAUCAUCUGCAGCAUAUUUCAGAAGGACACAUUGCACUUUGUAAACUCCUUGGAUUUAAAGGAGAAUCUUAAUUGGGUGUGAGUCAUACAUUAGGGAGAGGGUGUAUAACCAGAUCAAAUUAAACUGUCAAACCACGCUUUAAAAAAAGGAUGCUUUUUCAGAAAGACUUUCACUUCACCAGUAAGCCUGAGAAGGGAUUGUAGAAGUAUCUGGAUGAUUCAUUGGCCAUGAGAAGACUUGAGAUAGAAUCGAUGAUAACCUCCGGUGAGCUUGGAAAAAUAAUUAUGUGAAAGUUGCACAAAUUAAGAACUUUGGUGACAUGCAAAUAAAGAAAAGGAAAAAAAAGGAACAGGAGAGAAUACAAGUAAUAUCUCAUAAAAGAGACAUCAGCGAAUAUAUGUAAGAAGAAAUAAUGGAUGUUACUAAAUUCUCUAAAAUUUUUGGCAGGUCAAUAGUACUGAGUAAGAAAGAACCAACAGACCUCCCUUCCCUGCUAUUCAAACAAGAACAAAGAACAUAUUAUUCCCUGACAUUCUAAAUUCCUAUUUAUAUUUAUGACCAAAGAUUUCUUAAAUGCUGACCUUUCUCUUCAUUUGCUACAAUAAUGAUAAUAAUAAUAAUAAUAAAAAUAAUAAUCGCUGAAGCAAAACAAUUAAACUUCCAUUAAUGGGGACAUUGUAAUCACAAAAGAAUUUUCUGUGUAUUCUUUGAUGUUUUUUUAUUUCAACUUUAAAAAAUUUAUUUAUUUAUUUAUUAUGUAUACAGUGUUCUGCCUGCAUGUACAAACUUUUUUUUUUUGAUUGCAGAUCUCCACCCAUAGGCCAAAGCAAAAUUCUUACACACGUUUGUUCCCAACAGACAUUGCACAUCAUGUGGGAGAGAUGAAUAUGAGAAUUUAUUUCCUGCUAGGUUAACAGGAUCUUGCUAGGCACUCUGAGAAGAACACUGUAUUGGAGAUACGUUACUGCUCAGUCUGGAAAAAAAAUAAAAGAUCAAAAUACACUUAUUGAUGUGGGUCAAUGCUUGGAAGCUGACAAGAUCAUAAAAAACUUGUGGCUUCUCAGAAGGAAAUAAAGGCAGGCCAGGCAUUUGCUGUUUGUUGGCGUAAGAGCAUGGGAUUUGAUAGUUAAACCUGGCACACCAAUAAUGUCAAUACCUCCAGAAACACACUCGAGAGGGAAAUUACCACAUGUACCUUCCCCUUACUUCUUCUGCUUUCCUGCUUCCCUCCCAUGGAAGCCUGGCUCCAGGGUAAUUUUCUUGACUGAUGGGCCUGAAGGGCAAGGACGGUACAACAUGGGACCAUCGCUUUCACUUCUCCUUAUCAAAUGCACUUGCCAAUUGAUGUUCUUGGCAUCUUUCCACAGUCUCACAAGAGUCAGGAUUAUUCUGGGGCUUUUUGAACCCUCUUGUCUUUUGAGAUGGUGACAGUCUAUCUUGACAGCUCAAACCAAGUCACCGGGUACCACCCACAGCUUACUGAUACAGCCUUUCAGCAGGUUCUAAGGGAACCAAGAAAGAAUAAGAUUGCAGACUCCAGUUCUCAUUCAAUCCCAAGCCUAUUAAGUUUAUUGCCGUAUUUAAAACUCAUCUCAAAGAUGCAGCUCUCCAUCAGCCAAGUCAAAAGUGAAUGAGAGACAUCGUGGAUAUCCAAAGGGCAGUGACAUAUCUUGAUGUACACACAGUGUCCUCUCUGGUGACUUCAGUUCUCCAUAGUCAACGGAAUUCUCAGAAUAUUAUAUAUUAGAAAAUUCCAGAGGAAGGGAGAAAGAACACAUCAGUUAUUACAUUGCACUUAUGAUUGCACUGUUUUGAUGUCAUUGUUGUCAGUUUCUUAUUUUGUCUAAUUAUAAGUCAGACUCUGUCACAGAAAUGCACACAUGGGAAAAACAACACAGGUAGGGUUCAAUGUUAUCCAAGAUUUCAGACAUCCAAUUGUGUGGGAGCUUGGAGAAUACCAUCUGCCGAUGAGGGAACCUAUGUAUUAUUAAAUUCGCAUCAUUAUAUGUAAGCACUAAGUGAAUGUUAGGGACAAAUUGUUAGAAAAAAAGGAGAUAUCACAAAAGCCAGAAUGAUUCGUGAAAAACUACAACUGAAGAACAGAAUGUAAGUUGGACUUGGAAGUGUAGGCGAGUUUAGAGGGUGCAGAGAAGAGAAGCCACACAAAGUAAUGUCUUGCUUAUUAUCACCAUAGCUAUAGCUCAGGACUUGCACUACCUGUUUUUUUUUUUAUAUGCAUUCAGUUUGCAUCAGAAGAUGAUGAUGAUGAACAGAUAAUGUAGUUUUCAAAGAUUACACAGCUAAAUGUACAAAAAAAAAUGAACCCAAACCUCCACCUGCCCCUUCCUGGAGCUUAUUUCUUUAUAACAGCUGUAUGGAGGUUGCUUCUCCAGAGGCACAUCUACAGGAACAAAGUGAUAGAGACACAAACUGUGUUUCCACUACCAGGAAUUGGGAGACAGCAGAUAGUAGAAAUCAAAGGAAGAUAUCUAGGGAAGAGAUACAAGAAUCCAUCAACAUGAGAGAUAUUUGUUAAAAAUCUGAAUGUGUUUCCUGAUCAGCAGGGUAGUAAAGUCACAAACUGCAGAGGUCAUCACCUGGUCUCCGUCUUAGCUGAGGAUUGCUAAAUCUCUGCUAGACUGUCUUCCAAUCUUCUUAUAGUUCUUCAAAUAUACAUCUACUUGUGCAGAUGGUUUCAUGAUAUUUGAAUUUUGUCUUUUGUAAAUUUUGUAACACUAAUGUCUCAAUGAGUAAUAUAGUGGGACCAUCUAGUAUUGCACACACACUUACAGAGUACUUUUUAAUGGAAAUGGUCACCAUACAUGCUACCAUUGUUUAUUAAACUUUUAGCCUUGAAUGCUGAAGCUAUGUUUCCUUUUUAAAUUGUGAGGCAUGUCUGAUUUUUGUAGAAAUCAAUUUGUUUAUGACUUCCUUAAAAAUAUGUA